This is a long non-coding RNA of Gorilla gorilla gorilla (western lowland gorilla), 1037 nucleotides long. RefSeq lists it as uncharacterized. The record is from RefSeq and is a predicted model, not a curated record. NCBI's taxonomy places the organism in Eukaryota, Metazoa, Chordata, Mammalia, Primates, Hominidae. The transcript has 2 exons.
GGGGUGGGGAGAUCAGACGUCUCUGAGGCAAUGAUCUGGAAGCUGCCACCUACAAGAUAAAGAGUUAGCAAGAUAGAGACAACAGGAAUGAGCUCUCCGACGGAGGGCAUGAACAGCAAGUGCAAAGGCCCUGCGACUCGAAAGAGCAUGAAAGACUGAGGAAACGGCCAGUGUGGCUCCAACACAGUGGAGGAGGGGGGGGAUCCUACUGAGAUAGAGGCCCUGGGCUGAAUAAUUCUCAUCCUUCAAGGCCCAACUCCAGCCAAUGGCACCGACCUCCUGGACCUGCUAGGCAGAAGUGGUGGCUCCCUCUCAGCUGACCCCAGAGCACUUCCUUAGCUCCUGCUGAUCUCAGAGCACACACACCAAUCCACUCUGGCCACUCAGCAAUUUUUCUUGAUGGCCCUGGCAUGGCACCUGUGCUGGGGUCAGACCCUCAACCAGCCCUUCAGUGUUGAAAUGCGCAACCUCAGCCCUCUAGCCUCCGCGGAGGAAGCAGGGCUCUUCAGUUUGGGAGAACCAUAUACAACCAGAAGAAGGGGCCAAAAUAUCUGAAGCCCCCAGGUAGCGGGGCUAAAAGAAAGGGAUAAAUGGCCUCUUCUGUUUUUUUUUUCUUUCUUUGUUUUUGUUUUUACUGGAAACAACUCUAAGGGGAGACUGGUCCCAGGGAAGAUGAUCCCCUGAAAGGCUAGUAAGCAGAUCACCUUUGAAUGUCAAGGGCAAAAUCAUUGUUGGUGUCCUGUGCUCCCUCCAGGAGCUGGCUCCUCCACAGCUCUCAGGAAUGACAGUAAACACAGACGGCCCUGCAUGUAUUCAGGCUAUGGCCGCCUUCCUCCUGGGCUGCACAUCAGGCUAACAAGCCCAGCCCUCAGCUUCACAGGGAUUGGAGAGCUGGUGACCCUAGUCAAGGAAGCUGGUGACCCUGGAUCAGUUGCCUCCCCUCUCUGUGCCUAAAUCCCCCGCCCCACUUCUGUCAGUUAGGAGGAUGAUGCCUUCUUCAAAGUGUUGUCAUAAAGAUUAAAUCCUUAUUAAAGUCU